CCCCUUGCUUCUUCUGUCCACCUCUCCCAUGGCCUUCCUCUACUCUUUCUCUUCAUCUUAUUGCAUUCCUCUUCGAAUCUUUCAAAAAGACAACAUUCCAACUUUGUGUUUUCAUUGAAAUCAUGUUGGAAAUCACCACCUAAACUCAUUUCCUCUUUUUAAUCCUUUCAUUUUAGUUUAGGUAAUUUUAGAGAGAGAAGAUGAAUCUUGAGAGACAGAGCUUCAUCAAGGUAAGAAAUGGUGAUUUCCACCUUUCCUAGCUUGGUAUUUGACUUUGAAUGUUAAGUAAAAGUUUGGAAAUUUUGGAUUUUAAUUUUUGAUAUAUUCUUGUUGCAUGGAAAAAUGAAGAUUGAUGAGAAAUAGGGUUUUCAAGCUAAUUGAGGAUGGAUUUAAGUUUAUGGAGGAUUGAUUAUGUGUUAUAGAGCAUCCAAGGGUAAGUACCUUGUAUACUCAUACUUCUCUUAUGCUUUGGAGUUUGGAUUAGGAUAAUAAAAUUUUAGAAAUGAGUUUGGUUAUGUAGUAAAAUAUGUGGACUUCAUAACUUAAAAGUUAUGAAAUAAGUCAUUAAUGUGUUAUAGUGAAAAUGCUUAACAAAGGAAUGUAAUAAAUUGAUUAUGUG
Molecule: long non-coding RNA, 619 nt
Filed under: Gossypium barbadense (sea-island cotton)
Lineage: Eukaryota; Viridiplantae; Streptophyta; Magnoliopsida; Malvales; Malvaceae
Description: long non-coding RNA (GBAR_LNC012336)
Source: RNAcentral